AAGAAAAUAGUUUAUACUAGAACAUUUAUCUUGCAUAUAAAAAGAAUUAACAUUUUUCUUA
Molecule: transfer RNA, 61 nt
Filed under: Platorchestia sp. AKP-2018
Lineage: Eukaryota; Metazoa; Arthropoda; Malacostraca; Amphipoda; Talitridae
Description: tRNA-Ala
Source: RNAcentral